GACAGAGGGUGCAAACGUUGUUCGGAAUUACUGGGCGUAAAGCGUGCGUAGACGGUAGCGUAAGUCGGGUGUGAAAGCCCCGGGCUCAACCUGGGAAUGGCAUUCGAGACUGCUCUGCUAGGGUGCGGAAGAGGGGAGCGGAAUUUCCGGUGUAGCGGUGAAAUGCGUAGAUAUCGGAAGGAACACCAGUGGCGAAAGCGGCUCCCUGGUCCAGCACCGACGUUCAGGCACGAAAGCGUGGGGAGCAAACAGG
This 253-nucleotide ribosomal RNA is filed under the name uncultured bacterium. RNAcentral describes it as "partial 16S ribosomal RNA". It matches the Rfam family "Bacterial small subunit ribosomal RNA", at positions 524 to 776 of the family's 1533-position model. The record is from RNAcentral.